Ailuropoda melanoleuca (giant panda) is the source of this 1502-nucleotide long non-coding RNA. RefSeq lists it as uncharacterized. NCBI's taxonomy places the organism in Eukaryota, Metazoa, Chordata, Mammalia, Carnivora, Ursidae. The record is from RefSeq and is a predicted model, not a curated record. The transcript is spliced from 4 exons.
CCAGCCCGCACGCCGCGCGAGGCUCCCCGUCUUACCUGCGAUCUGCGCGGCCAGGAGGAGCCAGAGCCCCGGCUGCAUCUUGGAGCGCCCGGGACACCUGAUCCCAGCGGGACGCGGCGGAGACCGUCCAGGCUGGCGGUCUUGGGUGCGUUUCCAAAGAACCCGCUAGGACCCCAUGCUUUCCGAUGAAGAGGUGACACCGCUGUCCUGCGCCACGCAAUUGCAGAGCACACGGAGGGAAAGAGAACAAAGUGAGCAACCUCUUUGUGUCAUUUAAUAUGUCUGCGCACUGCUUAAGCCCCCAGGCCUUGAAUUCCUCAUCUGCUAAAUGGGGUUAAGAUACCAGCCUUGCCUGCGUAAGUGGGUUGUCAUCAGAGACAGAGGAAAUCAGCGAUCUGAUUUUAAAUUGUCAGUUGAACUUCCAGAAGCUAAGCCAAGCUUUCUGAGUGAGUAGGAACCUCUGGCAGGGGGCACACUCUGUCAGUUCAUGGGGGACUAUGUCGAUUGUCUCAACAUUUCAGUGGGGAGGAGCCACCGGCAUUUUGUAGGUGGGGAUCAGGGGUGCCAGAUGUUCUGCAACUGUGGGAUGGUACCAGUCAGCAAACAAUGAAUACUCCCCAACCUCCAAGAUUCUCAAAGUCCUUCCAGGCCUACAUCCAGGUGAGUUACUCGUCCAUCAUGACCCGAGCCCAGAAAUGAGCUCCGUUUUAUAGAUGAACAAAGCCUUCCUUGCUUCUUUCUGUCUUUGUAUCUCAUUCUCUUUCAUCUUAGUACCUGGAACAACAAUUGGAAUUUAAUAUUUGUUAACUAAAUGUAGAGGUAAAUGCCUGUUUUUCUGUUGAGUUAUUUAUACUUUCUUAUUAAUUGGUAAAUGCUAUUUGUCUGUUAAGGCUAUUAUCAGUUAGGGCUCAAUCAGAACACAAACUGUUCCACUAAUUUAAACAGAGAAAAUAAAUACCAAAAAAAUUAAACUAAUAAAAUGUUAACUACCAAAAGUGGUACAAGGCAACUCUGAGGCAGGGAUUGGCAAACUUUUUCUGUAAAGGGCCAGGUGGUAAAUAGUAUAGGCUCUGUGGAAUAUUUAUGUAUAAUAAUACAGAAUACAAAUCUCCACAACCUUUGUACUGAUAAAAUUAAAAAUAUAACAGUAGGGGUGUCUGGGUGGCUCAGUCAGUUAAGUGCCUGACUCUUAAUUUGGGCUCAGGUCAUGAUCUCAGGAUUGUGACGUGGAGCCCUGAGUGAGGUUCUGGUGUCGAGGGGGUGGGGUGGGGUGGGUGAGUCUGCUUAAGAUCCUCUCCCUCUCCCUUAGCCCCUCCCCCAUUUGAACUUGUACUCACACACUGUCUCUCUCUAAUAAAUAAAUCAGUGAAAUCUUUUAAAAAUAAUAAAUAAAAAUAUAAUAGUAAGUGAGUACAAGCUUUGGGAUAAAGUUCUUUAAUGAGAAGAAUGGGAUGCACUUUGUUGGGAUAACAUUUUGCUUAGUUGAGGUUCAAAUAUAAGAA